RNAcentral lists this long non-coding RNA (914 nucleotides) under Junco hyemalis (dark-eyed junco). Its description in RNAcentral is "lncRNA (ENSJHYG00000000492.1)". The record is from RNAcentral. Lineage: Eukaryota; Metazoa; Chordata; Aves; Passeriformes; Passerellidae.
UUCUAGAACCAUCCACAUUCCCCCCUUGUAGCUCUCCAGUAUCCCCCAAGCAUUCCCCCAUCACUGUCAGAUUAACCCCUUUUCUGACCCAGAGAUGGGGCAACUGAGGGGUGUUUUAAAAACUUUUAUUCUAUUUUCAGUCUCGUGUGAAGGGUGAGGCAACACAGAUGUUAUAAUUCACACCAUCACAAUCAGGAGCCAAUUAUUUCCUAAUUACAAUACACUAGAAGUGUUUUUUGGGAUGUCCUGAGUUUGGAAGGUUUUGCCACACCGUGCUGUAAUUGCCUUAAAGCCAAUUAUCUAAAAUUACCCCUUGUGGCUCCUACUGCAAUGAAUCUUUCAUAGUUCUAUUUCUCUAAAGUAUCAGGUCUCAUUUGCAAGGCCACCUUUUGAAAUUUUUUCCCUAGUUCUUUUUCUGUCUGUCCUAUUCCAUGGCAUUCUGUGUUUCGAAAUUUUGAAAAUUUUUUUUCUGUCUGUCGUAUUCCAUGGCAUUCUAAGUUUUGAAAUUUUGAUUUUUUUUUCCUAGUUCUUUGUCUAUCUGCCCUAUUCCAUGGCAUUCUAAGUUUCAAAAUUUUGACAUUUUUUUCCAUAGUUCUUUUUCUCUCUAUCCUAUUUCAACUCAGCAUUUCUCAUCUCCGUGUUUGCACACUGUGUGAGCUUUCCACCACAUCCCCACCCCGAUAUUCCUCCAGAUUGUCCCCAAAAUCCCUCCAGCACCCCUCUGGCACCAUCCCAGCUGGCAGCGGACUGGAGCUCACCUUGAAGAGGCGAAACGCGGCCAUCCAGCAGCUGCGGCUCUGCUCGUCCUCGCUGCAGAGCAACUUCAGAGCCUUCACUCCGCCCCGAACCUUGUGGGGCUGCGGGAAAGCGGAGCCGUCACGGAGGGGACAGGGACAGGGACAGGGACAGGGACA